GGGANUUGGACAUGGGCGCAAGCCUGGAUCCAGCCAUGCCGCGUGAGUGAUGAAGGCCUUAGGGUUGUAAAGCUCUUUCACCGAUGAAGAUAAUGACGGUAGUCGGAGAAGAAGCCCCGGCUAACUUCGUGCCAGCAGCCGCGGUAAUACGAAGGGGGCUAGCGUUGUUCGGAAUUACUGGGCGUAAAGCGCACGUAGGCGGAUAUUUAAGUCAGGGGUGAAAUCCCGCAGCUCAACUGCGGAACUGCCUUUGAUACUGGGUAUCUUGAGUAUGGAAGAGGUAAGUGGAAUUCCGAGUGUAGAGG
RNAcentral lists this ribosomal RNA (305 nucleotides) under uncultured bacterium. Its description in RNAcentral is "bacterial SSU rRNA". It matches the Rfam family "Bacterial small subunit ribosomal RNA", at positions 359 to 681 of the family's 1533-position model. The record is from RNAcentral.